CUUCCUGGAGGGGGUGGGGCACCGUGAAGUCCGCUGAAACCUAAAAGCCGAGGUGGAGGAAGAAAUGAAGAAAACAAGUUGUCACUACUCUAAUAAGAGGCACAAAUACUUCUUUCAAACCAAUGGGAUUCAGUUCUGUGGUGGUGCUUGGAGAGAAGCACAAUACACUGACGGGAAGUGGGAGAACCUGAAGGUCGUCUGACCUUAUAAAGAAUCAGAACUGGACAGAACAUGGACCAAGCCCACAUCUUUUCUAAAGUCAAAGAGUGAACCUGCUGAUUUUUAAGCAAGAAUUUCAUCACCUUUGUUAUUGAUGUCUCUAUGACUCUGAAUCUAAUCUCCUUCCACCUUAUGUUCUUGAAACUAGUUCUUGUUUAUUUUUUAACGCAUCAUUACAAAUGCAGUCAAGAUUUUACUUUUAAGGCUUCUGAAGAUACAACUUGCCUAGUUAGGAAAAAUUGAUAAUCUGGAUUUCUUUGCUGCCACAAGAACUUUGUCCUCUAUAUCUCUUCAUUCAUCCCUCUGCUAACGGGCUUUGUCAAAGAAGGGAGGGCUUUAGCAGUAUCCCUGUCACAAUUGCAGCUUCCUGAGAACAUUGGGAAAGUGCUCACCUUGGCUUCAGUGUGGCCUGUGCUGAGACAUGGUAGCUGUAGUCAUGUCCCAGGAGAUUAGCACCCCCAGCAAGUCCCUGCUUCUCGAAACAACUGGGUUUCGCUAUGAUGAACAAUAUGCACUGGUAAAAAGAAUCAUAGCCCUUUGAAGAUAACAACACUUUGAAACUUUGAGCAAGUCUGGCACACCUUCACUCACUCCUCCCUUCAUCAAUUUUUACUUAAGAAACGUCAACUGUAUUUGAAGCAUUUUUGUUUAAAAAGUCCGUGUUACUGAUUUAAUGUUUGUGUCCUUUCAACCCACCCAAAUUCAUAUGUUGAAAUUCUAACUCCUAACAUGAUGGUGUUAGGAUCUGGGACCUUUGGGUGGUGAUUAAGUCAUGAGGGUGGAGCCGCACAAAUGGGAUUAGUGUCCUCAUAAGAAGAGACAAGAAAACUUCUGCCUCUGUUCUCUGCCACGUGAGGAUACAAAGAGGAGACAGGCAUCUGUAAAGCAGGAAGAGGACCUUCACCAAGAACCUGACCAUGUUGGAAUCCUGAUCUUGGACUUCCAGCCUUAAGAGUUGUGAGAAAUAAAUGUUGUUUUUUUAAACCUCUCA
Non-coding RNA from Macaca mulatta (Rhesus monkey), 1210 nucleotides. The record is from RefSeq and is a predicted model, not a curated record. Lineage: Eukaryota; Metazoa; Chordata; Mammalia; Primates; Cercopithecidae.